GGCGGGGGCCGUUUCCAUAGCGGCGGCAGGAGGUGUCGCGCCGGGGAACUUCCUGGUUCCCGGGCUCGGCUUCGCCGGGAUCCUCUUGGAAGGGAAACAAUGGGGCGGAGGGCACUGCGGUAGCCGCCGCCGCCGCGCCGCGCCGCGCCGCGCCGGAUCUGCUCGGCCGCCCGGGACCGCCAGCUCUGUCCGCUGCCCACAGCCUAGCAGUCGGGACCGUACUGAGGACAUGUAUUCCUCUGAGAAACCUUGGACAGCAGAUUUUGGUUUAAUAUCUGAUUGGGACAACAUUCAGACCCAUUUCCAGUCAUGAAUGGAGUCUUGCCCUGUCACCCAGGCUGGAGUGCAGUGGCGCAAUCUCGGCUCACUGCAAGCUCCGCCUCCUGGGUUGACACCAUUCUCCUGCCUCAGCCUCCCAAGUAGCUGGGACUACAGGAGCCCGCCACCACGCCCAGCUAAUCUUUUUGUAUUUUUAGUAGAGACAUGGUUUCACCCUGUUAGCCAGGAUGGUCUCGAUCUCCUGACCUCGUGAUCCACCCGCCUCGGCCUCCCAAAGUGCUGGGAUUAUAGGUGUGAGCCACUACGCCCGGCCUGGAUGCUACAUUCUUAAAGGAUGCUGAUUUUAUCUUGGUUUCUUGCUUUUUUAAGUUAUCUCUCAUGUUCUUUGAUUUGCUCUAUGUUGCUUCUUUCUGUGGUCUUCUUGGGUAUACUCAAGUGUGUAUCAUACUCAAGUGUGUAUCGCAUAUGUUUAACAAAGGAAAAAUAGUGUUAAAAGAAAAAGUAUCACUUAAUAUAAGAAGCAAAACUUAGUUUUUGUUUCUAUGAUAAUGACAUCCAGGUAUGAUUUAGGUUAUUUUUCACUUUAAAUGGGCUAUUAACUUCACGUGAGAAAAAAACUGUAGAAACGUUAACUCCUGUAGAAUGAUGACUAUCUGUGGUGUAGUAAGAUCAUACAACUUCUCUACUUGUUACUGUGAGUUGCUUAAUAAAUGGCAGUACAAGUGUCAAAUCCGUAAUUAGUCAAUAUCAAGAGCUGCAUUUUGGAUUGCAUGUACUGUCCCAAAUAUAUGUUGUGCAAGUUACUUUGUAUCAUGUUAAUGGAGAAAAGAGUGGAUAUUAUGAAAUCAGCAAUAUAAAUCAAAUGUAUAUGUGGUCCUGCAAUGUAAUUGAAGGUACUCAGUCUUCUCAGACACUGAUGCAAUAUCUUGUGUUGCUUUCUCAGAUUUUUUAGGUGUAUCAUAGGGGAUAGCUGGGAACUGGUAGAGCAGAGGUACUAAGUUCCACCUGGAAAUGCUUUAGAGUAGCUCUUUGAAUAUGUCUUUACUUAUUAUCUUACAGCGUAUGUGUAUAUGAUUAUUUUCUAGAGGGUCGUACCCUUUAUUAAGCUGUGAGCUUCUUGAGGGCAAGGACUGCAAUUCAUUAAUCAUUUUGGAGAAAAGUGAAUAAUUCUGAAGAAUUCGGUGGUUCAUGAGCUUGCCUGGUAUUUGUUUCUCUAUGGCUUAUCAUCUAAGUGAGAUAACAGAUAGUAGAUAAUUGAUAAAUUUAAUCUGUUACCUAAUUACUGAGAGGAUUCAAUUCUUGCUUUAUGUUAUUACUGAAACAGACUGCCCAGUAAUCUUCUCUAGAGAGCAAUUAGGUUUGCAAUGAGUUAUUUUAUUGAGAAUGCUACUUGGAAUUAAAUGUUUAUACCACUAUCUUGAUAUAAUUUAAAUAUAAUUUAUAUGUGCUGAAGUAUCUUCAUUCAGAUAACUUGUUACCCCUUAACAAAACGCUGCUUGAGUGUUGUUUCUCUCCCAUUUGGCAAACACCAGAUGCAGUGAUUAAUAAAGGUCAUUAUGCUAC
This 1842-nucleotide small RNA is filed under the name Pan troglodytes (chimpanzee). Its description in RNAcentral is "processed transcript". The record is from RNAcentral. Lineage: Eukaryota; Metazoa; Chordata; Mammalia; Primates; Hominidae.